Molecule: long non-coding RNA, 5067 nt
Filed under: Mytilus galloprovincialis (Mediterranean mussel)
Lineage: Eukaryota; Metazoa; Mollusca; Bivalvia; Mytilida; Mytilidae
Source: RNAcentral
GAGCUUUUGACUAUAAAAGUUCAAUUUUAGUAAAUGUUGAAGAAAGGCUGCUGUCUGUUCUUACUCAAUACUUUUAGGUAAGUUUAUAUCUGUUGUAAAUAAAAAUUGCAUGAUAUAAUGAUAUGUGAUGUUGGUAUAAACUAUUUAAAACUGAUCACAUUUCUGAUGUUGAAAGGGUGGCAGGGAGUUGUGUCCUUGCUUUGUAUCUAUUGCUUUCUCUUUUGACUUGAAGCAAAUAUCGUGAACAUAAUUAUGAAAAUUUAUAAAACUGAUGGAAGCUCUGAUAAAAUGCCCAACUAUGGAUUGUAGAAAAUCUUUAUGCUAUUCACAUAAUAUUGACCGUACAUGAAGGGUUUUCUUUGGUUUGGUGAUGGUAGUCCUUAUUUGCUUAUUAUAUGAUAUCAUAUCAUUAAAAAAAUUGCCAUGUGAAUUGAUCACAAACAGGAUUGCAUCAAGGCUGUGCCUUAAGAUUAAGAUCCAUUACUGAAAGUUGGAUUUCGUUUGACGCUCAUAGGAGGAUGCAAUAUUUAAACUGAUAUUGAGGUGUCCACCUUUUCUGCAUCUAUUCCAAAGAAAUUGACUGAAUUAUAAACAAGUUCUUUGGGUCAUAUUGACUGAUAUUUUUAACAUACCACAAAUGUCAAUUGCUGACUUUAGUUAUUAUUAUAAGAGUUAUUACUUGCAUGACAUUGGAUUUAACAUACCAUAAGGCAUUAAAAAACAUCAACUCUUACAUAAUAUGAAGAAAAUAUUAUGAUGUAUUGUGUAUGGGUAAGAAAAAGCGAGCUACUAAAAAAAGGAAAUGCAUUUUUCAUUGCAACCUAAACAAAUUUUGUUAUUUGCAAAGUAUUGCCUAUUUGUUUAGAAGCAUAUAGUUUUUUAACAGGAAUUAGAAAGAGCACAUACCCAAAUCUAUUAAAAUGAUUAAUAUGGUGUAUAUUCAGUGAAAGGGCCAUUAGCUGUCCUAUUUAUAUUCAUCUCUUAUUUAACUCUAAUUCUCCAAUUUGAUUUAUUACAUACCAUAAACAUAUGCAAAUCACAAAUAAUCCAAAUGAACAAUAGCUAACUUUCGAGUUCGAUGCAUUUCCGUUAAAAACUCUGGUUUUAGUGAACAUCAUUCCAGUUUAGGGGCAUCGUCAUUUCCUUUCCAAUAUUGAGCAAUCGGUUGAAAAACUAUGAUGAUAUAUUGCAAGAAUUAUUUGGCAAAUUGAAUUCUCAUAAUUGACAAUCAGCACUGCUGUAUUUGAGGAAUUUUGAUUAAGUACCUACAGAACAAACAUUAUUUCUAGUUUAUCCUACACAACAACAAUCACUAAGACGCAUGAUGAACGUGAAUAGUGCAGGGAUAUAUGAAAUCCCCUCUAUCUGGUAAAUGACAUCAUAAAGGCGUGCAUAAUUGAGGAGUUUUGUCCUGUGACGGAUGAACUCGAAAGUGGUCUAUAAACAAUGCAUGGACUUAAAAUGAUAAUGUAUCAGCAUUUGGUGUAUAUUUGAAACUAGGUACCAUCCAAAUAACCAUAAAGACGGUAUAUGAAGAAUGCUGAUAGAUUUUUCUUGGUCUGUUUGACUGUCAUGGAUUAAAAAACGAUUCAUAAACUACCUUUUUGCCUGUACAAGAAUGAUUUUUUUAGGGGUAGAAUUGGUCAUACAAAUUUUUUUCCUUAUUGACUCCUUUGUUUCACUUUCAAUAGUGUCCUUUAUUUUUAACUUUAAGCAUUUUUAGCACAUGGGUAACCCAUUUCAAUCUUAGGGUUAAAUUGAAGGCAAGGUCACAUAAAUGUACAUGAAUGUUGACGUUGAAAUAUUGGGCUUAUUUGACAAAACUGAAUCUAAGUCAACUCUAAUGCCUCUUUGAUGAGACACUUUUUAUGAAGAAAAGGAAUUAUACAUAGAUUGAUAUAAGUAAACUUGUUUGUAGAAAAAUCUGCAAUGUUUUGAAAAUUACACCAUAAAACUACAUUGAACAGAUGAGAGGGUGUAGCAAGAAAAGUAUUUACUACACAUGAAAGCGAUGUACAUGUCAAAUUAAGUGACAAAGUUUGUAUAACCAAAAGGGGCAGUAAUUUAAAAUUCAUAGAUAAAAAUUUAUUUUCAAUGGAAGAUGAAAUAAAAUCUGGAAGAGAGAAAUAAAAACAGAAUAAUUCUUAUCAAGCCUGCUGACGGCAACACAUUUAUAAGUUGUUUAUUUUUCAAUCAUAAAGUUCGGUGUGUGCCUUAGAUUUUUUAACAAACAAUCAUGGAAUUUUAACCUUUUUUUUUAUCAUGAGCACCGUAUGACUAUCCACAGCCAUUUUUUUCAUAUAUUACUGAUAAAUGUUUUUUUUUUUUUUUGGAUCAGCCUUUUUUUUUAUUAGAAAGCUUGGGACUUUAAUAUUUUUCUUGACUUGUGAAGAUGAUGUUUCCUUAUGAAGUCAAUAGCUAUAAAAGUGAUUCAGAUUCCAUAGAACCUUUAGUAUUUGGUACACUGUAUGUACCUUAGUUUCUAUAAAUAUCUUGCAACCCUCUCUAGGUCAACAUCUUUAAUAGGACUUUGGAAUUUAUACUCCAACAUAUAUACUUUGACAUAUUAUUUCUUUAUUAACAGUUUUAUUAAAAUAUUUAUUUACAAAGAGGUCCAAUAUGAGUGAAUCAAGGUUCCUUAGCAGGGUUCAUGCUUGCUGGAUUGUUGUUGACUUUAUAGUGAAAAAAUGAAAUUAAACCUGAGAUGGUGAGGAGUGGUAUAUUUUCCAUUUUAAGAUGGAAAUUUCUCUUUUGUAGAUCUAUCGAUUUGGAUCAGCUAGUCUUAAAUUUUAAACAUGAAUACAUAGACACAAAUUCAGUCUUGCAAAUAGUUUCUAGAAGUUAUGAAAUAAGGUUGAUUAGUAAAGACAAAACAUGACUAUUUUGAUGAUUUUGUUUAAAGCAUUUGACACUGUUAUAUUUUGGGCAUUUAUUGAUAUUUUAGACAUUUAUUUUAUAGGUCAGAAGCACUGGAUGAUAUAAGUUGAUGUCACCUUGACUAGAUUAUGCUCCAAUUGAUGGAAUUUGUUUAAGUAUCUGACCCUGAAGUUGAUCUGGACAGAUUGAAGGUAAUUUCAUAUUGAUAAUAAAAAAAUGAUUUGUUUAAUUUGGAAAUAAUAUAUUAUUUGAAAUAAGAAGAUAUGGUAUGAUUGCAAAUGAGAAAGUUAUUGAUCAGAGACCAAAUGACUUGGAUGUAUUAAAACAACUAUAGAUCACAGUAUGGCAUUGGACAAAGAGCAAAACCCAUACCUGAUAGUAAGCUAUAAAAAGACAUGACAUGACCAGAUAUAUAUGUUAAUGUAUAAAGAAAACCAGCAGCCUGGUAUAUGACUCAAACCAAAAAACUAAAAACAAAUAUGAUGCACCCUAAACAGUUACAACAACUGAAAAUGUAAGUUCUGGGGUAGAGUUAUAUUUUUUGCAAUCACUAGGACAUUUUUCUAAAAUGGAAAUCAAGGUCAAGAUUGUUGAUACCGGGUGUCUUUUUGAUAAUUUUAUUCAUCAGAUUUUUGUAGUUAAAAUCGAUUAAGGAUUUGGAUGUACAGCAGAUUGGUGGGUGGGCGGUCAGCUGCCAAACAGUUUCCCCAAUAACAUGAGAACCACCAGUUACUAUGGUUACUGUAUCUAUAUAAAUAGGGUUCAAACAUUAAUCCACCAUUCUCCCUAUGAUGAAGGUAUCUGUUGUACUGAAAUCGGUCAGGCUAGGAAACAUCAGCAGGAGCUGUUUAUUAUGUGUAUUGGCAUAUGCUAUAUUGUUUGACUAAAGAAUAUUACUAAUCAACUUUUUGUACAGCAAAGUUUUUAAAGUAAUUUAUUUGAUAAUUAUCAUUAUGUAUUUAUUUCAGGUUCUGAAUUUGUGUUCAGCUUAAGAAGCCGGUGGAUAAGAAAAAGAUGCUUUUUAACUGCAAUGUUCAAGAAAAGUAAACCAUUGUUUGAAGAGGUAAGUUAUCUUCUCUAUGGUAAGGUUGUCUCUGACACAUUCUUCAUUUUCAUUCUCAAUUAUAUUAGAUCAUUCAAUGUUCCAUUAAAAUUUGAAAAAUAAUCAACAAAGAAGACUCUUUACGUCUGUGCCAUUUUAUUAGAUCAAUUUCACUGUGUUGGAAAGUGUUUACCAUUUGACAAGUUUUGUAGUAGGUUGUUAAUUUGUAAAUAUUGUGAGUUUAUCAAUAAGAAAUUCAAAGUUUUUGUUGUUUAAGCAAAAGUAUACAAGGCUUUACCAGAACAUAACUAACUUGACCAAGAAAACAUUUGCAUAUAGAUUUCUGAGAAUGGUUUGGUUUAGUACAUAUUUUGUAAGAAAGAGCAGUGGAUCUAAAAUUGCUUAUGAAAUGAGGAGAAUUGCUAAUUAAACAAGUGUCCACUUGUAACCAAAUGACAUGGAUGUAAGCAACUAUAGGUCAUUAUACAGUCUUCUACAAUGAGAUUUCCAGAAAAAAACAUACUGAAUAGUAAGCUGUUAAAGGCCCCUUCAUGAUAAAAUGGGGAAAAAAAUCAAACUAAGAAAUCAACAACCUGAUCAAUGAUGAAACAAUUACGACAAACAACUACCACUGAAAACUUUCCAGAGGGAAAAGAUCAUGUAUUACUUAUGUUACUACACUAUUCAGAUAACCAGAAAUCCUGGAUUUUAGUCCUGGCAGGAUAAAGUACUGUAUAUUCAGAAAUUAUUGCGUGCAUUAAUUAUUGCGAUUUUUUCAUUUAAGACUGAAAUGCGGUUUUAAUGCGAUAUUGUUAAAAAUCUUGUUUAAUUCAUAUAAAGAAUUAUUGCAAUUAUAGCCCUGUCGCAUUUUUCAUAAUAAUAAAAACAUCUCAAUCAUUUCUGAAUUUACAGUAACUAAAAUCAUGUAUAAGCACAACAUAGGGCUUUAUAUAAAGUUUUUAAUAUAAAAAUCACUAAAUUUUACACUUUUUUUUAAUAACAUUCAUUGCAUUAUCAUUUUUUCUUGCAGAAACAUACACUGGAUGGAGAUUAGAGUUUUAUUAAUCAUGGAGAAUGGAAGAUUCUUGGCAUGUUACAAUGACAGUUAUGACUAUUUGAGAAAGAAACAGAAAUUAAAUGAUCAGAAA